GACAGAGGGUGCAAACGUUGUUCGGAAUUACUGGGCGUAAAGCGUGUGUAGGCGGUAAGAUAAGUCAGGUGUGAAAGCCCUGGGCUCAACCCAGGAAGUGCACUUGAUACUGUUUUGCUUGAGUACUGGAGAGGUUGGUGGAAUUCUCGGUGUAGAGGUGAAAUUCGUAGAUAUCGAGAGGAACAUCUGUGGCGAAGGCGGCCAACUGGACAGAUACUGACGCUGAGACACGAAAGUGCGGGGAGCAAACAGG
Molecule: ribosomal RNA, 253 nt
Filed under: uncultured bacterium
Lineage: Bacteria
Description: partial 16S ribosomal RNA
Rfam family: Bacterial small subunit ribosomal RNA
Source: RNAcentral